ACGGGGCCGCACAAGCGGUGGAGCAUGUGGUUAAUUCGACGCAACGCGAAGAACCUUACCAGGCUUGACAUCCCCUGACCGCGUAUGAAAGUACGUUUUCACCCUCGGGUGACAGGGAGACAGGUGGUGCAUGGUUGUCGUCAGCUCGUGUCGUGAGAUGUUGGGUUAAGUCCCGCAACGAGCGCAACCCCUACGUUUAGUUGCUAACAGGUGAAGCUGAGCACUCUAGACGAACUGCCGUUGACAAAACGGAGGAAGGUGGGGAUGACGUCAAAUCAUCAUGCCCCUUAUGUUCUGGGCUACACACGUGCUACAAUGGCCGGUACAGACGGAGGCGAAGCCGCGAGGCGGAGCAAAUCCGAAAAAGCCGGUCUCAGUUCGGAUUGCAGGCUGCAAUUCGCCUGCAUGAAGUCGGAAUCGCUAGUAAUCGCAGGUCAGCAUACUGCGGUGAAUACGUUCCCGGGCCUU
Molecule: ribosomal RNA, 468 nt
Filed under: uncultured Pelotomaculum sp.
Lineage: Bacteria; Bacillati; Bacillota; Clostridia; Eubacteriales; Desulfotomaculaceae
Description: bacterial SSU rRNA
Rfam family: Bacterial small subunit ribosomal RNA
Source: RNAcentral